Molecule: unclassified non-coding RNA, 204 nt
Filed under: Hevea brasiliensis (rubber tree)
Lineage: Eukaryota; Viridiplantae; Streptophyta; Magnoliopsida; Malpighiales; Euphorbiaceae
Source: RNAcentral
AUGCGUACUGUGAAGAACCCAGAAGAGGCAGAAGUUAUAGCAUGUGCUUUAUGCAGGUGUUAUGAUUUUAGCAAGUCUGGAUUUGGUCCACGCACGGUUAUCCUCUGUGACCAGUGUGAGAAGGAAUAUCAUGUUGGCUGCUUGAAGAAACGAAAGAUAGCAGAUUUAAAGGAGUUGCCUAAAGGAAGAUGGUUCUGCUGUGCG